GCCGUCAUCGUCUAGCGGUUCAGGACAUCGCCCCUUCAAGGCGAAUACGCGAGUUCGAGUCUCGCUGGCGGCACC
This 75-nucleotide transfer RNA is filed under the name Chloroflexota bacterium. RNAcentral describes it as "tRNA-Glu". It matches the Rfam family "tRNA". Rfam says of the family: Transfer RNA (tRNA) molecules are approximately 80 nucleotides in length. Their secondary structure includes four short double-helical elements and three loops (D, anti-codon, and T loops). The record is from RNAcentral. Lineage: Bacteria; Bacillati; Chloroflexota.